GAGUUUGAUCCUGGCUCAGAUUGAACGCUGGCGGCAUGCCUUACACAUGCAAGUCGAACGGCAGCACGGGAGCUUGCUCCUGGUGGCGAGUGGCGAACGGGUGAGUAAUGCAUCGGAACGUAUCCUGGAGUGGGGGAUAACGUAGCGAAAGUUACGCUAAUACCGCAUAUUCUGUGAGCAGGAAAGCGGGGGACCUUCGGGCCUCGCGCUCUUGGAGCGGCCGAUGUCGGAUUAGCUAGUUGGUGAGGUAAAGGCUCGCCAAGGCGACGAUCCGUAGCAGGUCUGAGAGGAUGAUCUGCCACACUGGAACUGAGACACGGUCCAGACUCCUACGGGAGGCAGCAGUGGGAAUUUUGGACAAUGGGGGCAACCCUGAUCCAGCCAUGCCGCGUGAGUGAAGAAGGCC
Molecule: ribosomal RNA, 406 nt
Filed under: bacterium enrichment culture clone ALO1_GLFRUDD03GEUXC
Lineage: Bacteria
Description: bacterial SSU rRNA
Rfam family: Bacterial small subunit ribosomal RNA
Source: RNAcentral